AGAGUUUGAUCCUGGCUCAGGAUGAACGCUGGCGGCGUGCUUAACACAUGCAAGUCGAACGGUGAAGCCCAGCUUGCUGGGUGGAUCAGUGGCGAACGGGUGAGUAACACGUGAGCAACCUGCCCCUGACUCUGGGAUAAGCGCUGGAAACGGCGUCUAAUACUGGAUACGAGUAGCGACCGCAUGGUCAGUUACUGGAAAGAUUUAUUGGUUGGGGAUGGGCUCGCGGCCUAUCAGCUUGUUGGUGAGGUAAUGGCUCACCAAGGCGUCGACGGGUAGCCGGCCUGAGAGGGUGACCGGCCACACUGGGACUGAGACACGGCCCAGACUCCUACGGGAGGCAGCAGUGGGGAAUAUUGCACAAUGGGCGCAAGCCUGAUGCAGCAACGCCGCGUGAGGGAUGACGGCCUUCGGGUUGUAAACCUCUUUUAGCAGGGAAGAAGCGAAAGUGACGGACCUC
This 460-nucleotide ribosomal RNA is filed under the name Microbacterium phyllosphaerae. Its description in RNAcentral is "bacterial SSU rRNA". It matches the Rfam family "Bacterial small subunit ribosomal RNA", at positions 8 to 480 of the family's 1533-position model. Lineage: Bacteria; Bacillati; Actinomycetota; Actinomycetes; Micrococcales; Microbacteriaceae. The record is from RNAcentral. RNAcentral also lists the same sequence under 1 other name.